GAUGAACGCUGGCGGCGUGCCUAAUACAUGCAAGUCGAGCGAACAGACGAGGAGCUUGCUCCUCUGGCGUUAGCGGCGGACGGGUGAGUAACACGUGGAUAACCUACCUAUAAGACUGGGAUAACUUCGUGAAACCGGAGCUAAUACCGGAUAAUAUAUUGAACCGCAUGGUUCAAUAGUGAAAGACGGUUUUGCUGUCACUUAUAGAUGGAUCCGCGCCGCAUUAGCUAGUUGGUAAGGUAACGGCUUACCAAGGCAACGAUGCGUAGCCGACCUGAGAGGGUGAUCGGCCACACUGGAACUGAGACACGGUCCAGACUCCUACGGGAGGCAGCAGUAGGGAAUCUUCCGCAAUGGGCGAAAGCCUGACGGAGCAACGCCGCGUGAGUGAUGAAGGUCUUCGGAUCGUAAAACUCUGUUAUUAGGGAAGAACAAAUGUGUAAGUAACUAUGCACGUCUUGACGGUACCUAAUCAGAAAGCCACGGCUAACUACGUG
This 497-nucleotide ribosomal RNA is filed under the name uncultured bacterium. Its description in RNAcentral is "partial 16S ribosomal RNA". It matches the Rfam family "Bacterial small subunit ribosomal RNA", at positions 28 to 507 of the family's 1533-position model. The record is from RNAcentral.